GGAAGCUGAAUGCAGAGCUGUCAAUCAUAGAGGAACAUUUGGAAACGCAGCAGCCACAUAAAAGCGUUCCCUGACUUACCCCCUCUGCUCGACGAAGGAGGGAAGGAAGCUCAAAGAAAUCGUCUUGCAAGCAGUUCAGCGGCAUCAAGAGGAACACAGCGGACUGAGUCAUCUGAUGUAUAGGGUGCCCACUCACAGUCCCCAUAGAGCGCCUUCCUGUCUCCAAAACUGAGCCUCAGGAAGCCAUCCUUGCCUGCAGAGGUGCUGCGGGUUCUCCUGCCUCUUGACCUUGGGGUUUCACCAGGAAGGCCAUGCCAGUGAAGACAUAGUCUAUUCACAUCUAGAUGCUAUAUGCAAUUCUGGGCUACUUGCAAACUAAUCCACAGAGCCUGACAGGCUUUUCUUCCCCUUCCUAAUGAAUUUGAAUCUUUCCGAAAGACCCGUGAUUGACAGAGCCAGACUGAAGCUUUAAGUUUCUCUGAAGACUGAGGGUUUGCAGCAGCCUGUCUGGGCCAGGUCUGGGCGAAGAAAAGAACUCCAGACUGAGGGUGAUGUGCAGGUCGCUGGCCUGGAGGAGCGGUGGGCGAGCAGCUGGCGGAGGGCUGGGCUCUGACCCUUCCCUGUAGAGCCCUCCUUUAAUACUGAACCCUCAAGGGUCA
This is a non-coding RNA of Saimiri boliviensis boliviensis (Bolivian squirrel monkey), 659 nucleotides long. The record is from RefSeq and is a predicted model, not a curated record. Lineage: Eukaryota; Metazoa; Chordata; Mammalia; Primates; Cebidae.